RNAcentral lists this ribosomal RNA (774 nucleotides) under uncultured Neocallimastigales. Its description in RNAcentral is "partial large subunit ribosomal RNA". It matches the Rfam family "Eukaryotic large subunit ribosomal RNA", at positions 26 to 616 of the family's 3401-position model. Lineage: Eukaryota; Fungi; Neocallimastigomycota; Neocallimastigomycetes; Neocallimastigales. The record is from RNAcentral.
CGCAUCUGUGCAUGCAGCAUAUCAAUAAGCGGAGGAAAAGAAACUAACAAGGAUUCCCCUAGUAACGGCGAGUGAAGCGGGAAGAGCUCAAAUUUGAAAUCUUAAAGGGUUUCCCUUUACGAAUUGUAGUUUAAAGAAGUGUUUUCUGUUGAGGUUUUGGUAAAAGUUCUUUGGAAUAGGACAUCAUAGAGGGUGAGAAUCCCGUAUUUGACCUUUACUUUCAACUUUGUGAUACACUUUCAAAGAGUCGGAUUGUUUGGGAAUGCAGUCCAAAAUGGGUGGUAAAUUUCAUCUAAAGCUAAAUAUUGGCGAGAGACCGAUAGCGAACAAGUACCGUGAGGGAAAGAUGAAAAGAACUUUGAAAAGAGAGUUGAACAGUACGUGAAAUUGUCAAAAGGGAAGCGUUUGACACCAGUGUUGUUUUUCUGAAAAUCAAUUAAAGAACUGUUUAUGCUAAGCUGUUUAGACUUUAUCAGCUAACUGUUUAGUUUUGAGCUUUUCUUUAAUGCACUUUUCAGUUAACAAGUCAACAUCAAUUUCUUUUGCUGUAAAAAAGCUUGAGGAAGGUGGCUUGAGAUUCGUCUUAAGUGUUUAUAGCCUCUUGCCUAUGCAGUCGGAGAGAUUGAGGUCUGCAGCGUAGAUCCUUCGGGGCUAAAUGCAUUUGUGCUAAGUUAUAGCAUUUUAUAGACAACUUGUUGACUAUGAUUUGUCUUGUAGCUUACUCGCUUAUGUUAUUUUACCUACGCUUAGGAUGUUGAGCGCAUGUCUCUCUCU